This is a long non-coding RNA of Sinocyclocheilus rhinocerous, 351 nucleotides long. RefSeq lists it as uncharacterized. NCBI's taxonomy places the organism in Eukaryota, Metazoa, Chordata, Actinopteri, Cypriniformes, Cyprinidae. The record is from RefSeq and is a predicted model, not a curated record. The transcript has 3 exons.
CGGACUUCCUAGCGCUAAAUAUGACUGAAAACGGAGCACAAGCACAGCCCAGAACAAAUCGGUACAUCUGGAAAGCUAUACAAAUGGAUUCAGUACCCAUGAGGAAAGCAUCCUAACGAAAGACUUUCAAAUUGCCUUGUUCUCUCCGUCUGCGAAGGAGAGCCCCGCUGUUCCUCCCAAUUAAGACAGUAGAGCUGCCUGGUCGCCCGCCGCUCACAACACUUUCUGACUUAUCCUGUUUUCCACUUCCACUUCCAGACUGAUGGGGGAAGGAGAUGUGGAAUAGCAAGAGCUUUGACAUCGGCAUUUAUUUAAAGGAAAUCACCCCACCAAAAGCCACAGUACCAAACG